RNAcentral lists this ribosomal RNA (4041 nucleotides) under Triticum aestivum (bread wheat). RNAcentral's name for it is "partial small subunit ribosomal RNA". The record is from RNAcentral. Lineage: Eukaryota; Viridiplantae; Streptophyta; Magnoliopsida; Poales; Poaceae.
CACAAGACACGACUUAAAAGUCGGCUGACUUUUACUUUGGGUGACAAGACAGUACCUCCAAAGAGUCAAGAGUACGGACAACGGGGGCAACAUGUCAUGUCCUAACAUGCCUUGGCACACCUCUCAAUAUGUCUUAAGAAUACGAGUCGAUGUCGGAUGUCCAUAGGCGCACAAAAAGGCACACCUCUUAGUGUGUCUUAACGGUUCGCGUUCGUCCCAGACCUAUAAAAGCGGAAACUGUUCAGGCACCGGCGGUUCCUACUGGUUGACCACGGUACCGGACUAGUUGCCUGGGUGGGGUCUCGUCAUAUCCAUGGUAAGUCGUAAUUAGAGUCAGUCCGCUCUGUCUGUCUGUCUGUCUCUCUCUCUCUCUCUCUCUCUCUCUCUCUCUCUCUCUCUCUCUCUCUCGCCUCGAUCUUGCUACUCCGCUGCUGUACUCGACGACCAGAGCGGCAGAACAACGAACUCGCCGGAGCACGACGACGACGACCGCGACAGACGAGCUCGAGUCGCCGUUCGUGUCUGUCUACAGUGUCUAGGCAGGCUUCACCGGCGCGACUUGUAGUAGAAGAGUGCCACCCCGGACGUCCGCAGCCGCCGCACCUUGUAGUCACCGCUCGGAACGUCGCCACGGCGGUAGCUGCCGUGGCUGUAUCUAAGUCUGGGACUUAAUUUUGGCCGGUAAUUCACACUGACGAGGAUGUUGCGGUCGUGGCAGACGGUGUAGUGGUCCGACUUUCAUAUGCGUGAUCUACACCAACCAGUCUAAGGACACCUUGACGUUUUAGAUUGAAUGGACUGUUCGGACUUAAAUCGCGUCUUAAUGAACUGUCCUAGAAACGGUCGUAAAGAACCUUUCGACUGAGCCAACGUCAUAGACAUUCUUAAUGCUAAAUAGAAAGAGACUUCGUAAAUUUACAUUUACCAUAGAGCACAUCACGCAUUGAACGGGACAAAAGAAAAGUUUUAAUGUUCUUGAAACUCAUAGUUACGUAAUUGACCUCAAAAUGGCUCGCUCGACCCAUUGGAGUUCUUAGAGUAAAGAGACCCGCAAUCGUGUUUAUUCAAACAGCCAGGUGAGGGGCUUCAUCAUCUUUUGAACUGGUUUGAACUCGUUGACAUAUAGCUAUCAACACCAAAUUCACCUCUCGAUGGUAGAAGGAAAAGGUUUGAAUUCUUGGACUUUUAGGACACUUAAGAGAAUAGUAUGAAAUACUAGACAAUAUUUCAGUAAUUUUGUCUGAAUCACAUAAUUGAAGCAGGAAUAGAUAGGUCUACCCGUAGUCUAUUGCCCAAAUGACCCUUCUAUGGACUAGUGUAACCUUCGAAUAGUUUAAACGUCCUAGACUCUAAGGUACCUUUAUUGAAACUGCCAGGGUAAGGACGUUCAAAAAGAUUAGAAUAGUUGAACUGUUUAAACGCUUAACCACUAAAUUACCCUCUCGACAGAAGUAACCGAACACCAAUUGUACUGCAGCAACAUAUGAGAUCAAGACUCUUUGAGGUCCUAUAGACUGUUGGAAAGAAGUCACCUGAAGAGUUUUAAACAAUUGGAGUUGAUAGACCUGAACUCAAAAUUGUCGUAGUGUCCGUUUCAAUGAGGUUUGGAAGACUUGGACUUAGGGGAGCUUAAGGAUAAAGAACCCUCAUUAUUGGAGAGACCCUCGGAUGGUCUAUACUAAUCGUGAAGUGAAUGAUGAUAACUAGACAGUAUGUUAUACGAGAGUCCUUCUAUGGGAAGAACCCAAUUGUACUUAUUAAAUGUACACUUAAACCACACCUUGUUGAAACCCUAUCUAUUGAGCUUGUUGUCAUAAAACGGAAGUGCUGAUUUAACAGAAGUCGCUCUAUGAGGUACAAAACUAAGAGGUAGAAUAAGGAGGAAACGCCAUCUGAGACCACCAAGCUCUGGGUAGUCUCCGAGUCUGUUGAGGUAAAUGCUUGGACUACUACGGUCAGAAGGUCAACGUAGUAUGAUACAAUGCCUGAGUUGCUCUACCCCGCAAUCGUUGUAGCCCUCUAAGUACCUGGGCAGAUUACCCUCAAUAUAUUAUAUGUGAAGAGCGGUCAAAUGGUUGUGUGAACUAAGACUUGAUAAAGUCUGUCGGUCUUACAGUGGGAGAAGUAACUCUAUGAAGCCGUAACCCGAGUUCUUACCGUACAUGUCGCAACAUGAAGUCAAACGUCUCUAAAAAAAGGGUCUACUGCUCUGUACCUUUUCGCACCCUUUCUCCUAAAAGUUAUAUAUAUAGGUCCCUCUAGAAUUUCUUUGUCUGAAGCUAUAUUUCUUUGUUUGUUUACCUUUUAGAAUGUGACAAUAAGUCUCUGUCAUAUGACAACUUCAUUACUUAUUAAAGUAACUAUAGGUAGAGAAAACCCGACCUUUCCCGUGAACAACGUAAGGACUUGUUCCCAAGAUACCCGGUAGAUAUAGUCGGAAUUCGCAUAGAAGAAUACCAUCGUUGCCACUUCCCCUAAGACCAAGUGUCUCUUUGUCGUGAUAGUCAUCUUGUCCAAACCAACAACCUCAACAUCAGACACAACGCCAAAAUCCUAAAGAUCGUAAGCGACCCCGGAAACAAACCUCCGUCUUUUCUUCCUCCAAUCUCCACCUUUACCUUCUCGACAAGUGAUAUCAACCUUCCGGAUUGUAAAAGUCAAUACCACUUUAUUUUAGACGAUGCCUGUCAAAAUCAGAAUCGUUGUAAGAACCUUCUCCCCCAAUACCUGGACAAAUGUUCCCAUUCGAUGAACUACCCUCCUAACAUCGACAUUUCGUCGACAGAAGAUGUAGAGUAGUUCCCUUUUUCCUCAAGUACUGUCUUUAACGGUGGUAUAGACGCCACGUCGUGGCUUUGGAGCACUUCAACGUGCCAACAACGUAGCUGUCAUUCUGCGGUGAAAACCAGAUACUCAUGGACCUUGUUCCCUCGGAACUAGUUCGUUAGAAACCGUUCUGUCUGAACUUGGAUCUAACCUCUUGCGCGAAGCUCUAUACGCAACCGUAACGUUCUCCAGAUCGUAUAGAGGUACUCCUCAGGUCGUACGCCUAUCAGGUGUCCCUGUAGUUUCGGUCGUUACAGAACGAGCUGCGACUAGAGUUGGGAUUCUAGAGACUGAAGCCCGACCGGUCCGUAAUGUUCCUGUCGUACUGCGUAGAGUUGUGGCCUCAGCGACCGUGCGAACCAAUAGAGCGUGGGCUCAUGCGGUACUACCCUGUGGACUGCCUCUUCCGGCUGCAAAAGCGUAAGCCCCAGCACCGUGACCUCUAGGAGCGACCUGCGGCCUUGAAGCUACUGUCAGAGCUCCUUCUACUCUUCAUAGAAGAACCUACACGGACCGUAGACGUACUCUCGGUUGCCUGUGAACUUGACAACCUGUCAUUUGAGUAACUUAAGCUGCUCCUUCUCCGACGCGCUGAGUAGUUACAACGAGAAGAUACGUGCUACCCGGACGGAGUCGCCGCGGGUGGCUACAGGUUCCAGCACAGGUACGAGUGCCUUCUAUAGCUCCACUGGCUGCACCUGUGGUGGUACUCCGGAUCGAUGCACGGCCUUACCGUCCAGUCCUCGAAGUCGUCGUCAAUGCAGAGUCCCAGCCCCAGCAGCCGAGUCGUCAGGAGUGCGUCAGUUUAGUCGCGCGACAGGUCGAGCUCGUUCUUCGGGCCCUUGGUGUCCCUGUGGAGCGGCGAGCGGGACAGCGGAACAAGAUCGCCGCCCUAGCUGCUCCCUCGCCUAAGACCAAGCUCUACUCUUAGAUCUAGAACAGGAAAGGUUGUAACCCAGGAUCAUUAAAGAAGAACGAUAUACAAGUAUAAACCAAUCAAGAAGACGAAUUAAAUCCUACUAAAAACAAAAGAGAGCGUUUAUGUAUCUACAGAGCGAGAAACUAAGCAUAUUAAAAGUGUGCUGGAAAACUUGUGAGACACUUAACUUUUCCUUCUAUCCAUUCGCAGAGAUGGAAAGUCCUCCGGUGCAGUAACAUAAAUAUACACGUGUUAUACGCUCUCAAAAUGUUCUGGUCUUAAGUUAUCUAACCUCA